RNAcentral lists this ribosomal RNA (425 nucleotides) under Vibrio sp. K8K5_090. RNAcentral's name for it is "bacterial SSU rRNA". It matches the Rfam family "Bacterial small subunit ribosomal RNA", at positions 105 to 526 of the family's 1533-position model. Lineage: Bacteria; Pseudomonadati; Pseudomonadota; Gammaproteobacteria; Vibrionales; Vibrionaceae. RNAcentral also lists the same sequence under 1 other name. The record is from RNAcentral.
GGUGAGUAAUGCCUGGGAAUUUGCCCAUUUGUGGGGGAUAACAGUUGGAAACGACUGCUAAUACCGCAUACGCCCUACGGGGGAAAGCAGGGGACCUUAGGGCCUUGCGCUGAUGGAUAAGCCCAGGUGGGAUUAGCUAGUAGGUGAGGUAAAGGCUCACCUAGGCGACGAUCCCUAGCUGGUCUGAGAGGAUGAUCAGCCACACUGGGACUGAGACACGGCCCAGACUCCUACGGGAGGCAGCAGUGGGGAAUAUUGCACAAUGGGGGAAACCCUGAUGCAGCCAUGCCGCGUGUGUGAAGAAGGCCUUCGGGUUGUAAAGCACUUUCAGCGAGGAGGAAAGGGUGUAAGUUAAUACCUUACAUCUGUGACGUUACUCGCAGAARAAGCACCGGCUAACUCCGUGCCAGCAGCCGCGGUAAUAC